Molecule: ribosomal RNA, 449 nt
Filed under: uncultured bacterium
Lineage: Bacteria
Description: bacterial SSU rRNA
Rfam family: Bacterial small subunit ribosomal RNA
Source: RNAcentral
UACGGGAGGAGCAGUGGGGAAUAUUGCACAAUGGGCGCAAGCCUGAUGCAGCCAUGCCGCGUGUAUGAAGAAGGCCUUCGGGUUGUAAAGUACUUUCAGUCGUGAGGAAGGUGUUAAGGUUAAUAACCUUAGCAAUUGACGUUAGCGACAGAAGAAGCACCGGCUAACUCCGUGCCAGCAGCCGCGGUAAUACGGAGGGUGCGAGCGUUAAUCGGAAUUACUGGGCGUAAAGGGCACGCAGGCGGUUAAUUAAGUUGGAUGUGAAAUCCCCGGGCUUAACCUGGGAAUGGCAUUCAAGACUGGUUAGCUAGAGUCUUGUAGAGGGGGUAGAAUUCCAUGUGUAGCGGUGAAAUGCGUAGAGAUGUGGAGGAAUACCGGUGGCGAAGGCGGCCCCUGGACAAGACUGACGCUCAUGUGCGAAAGCGUGGGGAGCAAACGAGGGAUUAGAU